GCCCCCUUUCCCAGGUCAGUAUGGAACAGCCCCACCUUCUCUUUCUCUCUCUCUAUGGCAGCUUGCACUCUCUGGCUUUAACCCUUAAGGCAACGAGCAUCUGUUCCCUAUAUUCGAAGCCCAGGUUCCCUCCCUUCCCUCCCCAUUGGCUGGGUCCUGCAAUUAUCCCGCCCCCGGAAAUAUCCUGCCUCCCUGGCGGGGGCUCCCAUUCCCGCCCCCGCUGCUCAGGGUCGCUGCCACCAUCGCCAGGAUUUCGGGAAGCUACAACUUGCCUUGGCUUAUUUGCUUCUCAAGAUGUUGAACCUGCAAACCUGGUCAGGAUGGACAGAGGAAUAUGGACAGCUGACCUGCUCAAGCUGUCUCCCGCAUCCCUCCCUGCAACCUCUGAUCAUCCCCUCCCAGGGCCCUCGGAGAAAUCUGUUGAGUUCCAGGGGAGAGGAGAUGGGGACAUGGAUGGCUGGAUGGUGGAGGGAGAAAGAGGAAAAGAUGGAGAGGAGACCAAAGGCAGGAAGGGCCAGGCAGGAAGAAAGGAAGGAGGGAGGGAGGGGUGAGGCCUUUUUCAAAGCAGCUCUUUGUUUUUGGAAUCCCUUUCAUAAAGUAGUGGGGGCAGAUUUUCUUUCUCUGUGCUUUUAAAUCUCUGGUGUUAUUUCCACUGCAGGAUUAAGUGACGAAAAUGAUGUUGCACACCAAUCCAGGAAAAUGGGUGAAGGGGGCUAUGGUGAGGAAGACGAUGGUCAGAAUUCUACGGAGCCAUCUGUGAAUUCAU
Non-coding RNA from Podarcis muralis (Common wall lizard), 766 nucleotides. NCBI's taxonomy places the organism in Eukaryota, Metazoa, Chordata, Lepidosauria, Squamata, Lacertidae. The record is from RefSeq and is a predicted model, not a curated record.